GAGCACUUUUAUGCGUUUAAUGAACCAUGUUUUGCGUGCUUUUAUUGGGAAAUUUGUUGUAGUUUAUUUUGAUGACAUCUUAAUCUAUAGCAAAAACCUAGAUGAGCAUUUAGAACAUUUAAAUUGUGUGCUUGUUGUGUUGCGAAAGGAACAACUGUAUGCUAAUUUCAAAAAGUGCACAUUUUGCAUGGAUAGAGUUGUUUUCCUAGGAUUUGUGGUUAGUGCUAACGGGGUGGAAGUCGAUGAAGAAAAGAUAAAAGCUAUAAAAGAAUGGCCAACACCUAAGACUAUAACUGAAGUUAGGAGUUUUCAUGGAUUGGCUAGUUUUUAUAGGCGAUUUGUAAGAGAUUUUAGCACCAUCACCACACCGUUGACUGAAAUAGUAAAGAAGAGUGUAGGUUUUCAUUGGGGAGAAUCUCAAGAAAUUGCAUUUAACACAAUUAAGGAUAAGCUAUGUAAAGCACCU
RNAcentral lists this long non-coding RNA (466 nucleotides) under Olea europaea subsp. europaea. Lineage: Eukaryota; Viridiplantae; Streptophyta; Magnoliopsida; Lamiales; Oleaceae. The record is from RNAcentral.